RNAcentral lists this ribosomal RNA (253 nucleotides) under uncultured bacterium. RNAcentral describes it as "partial 16S ribosomal RNA". It matches the Rfam family "Bacterial small subunit ribosomal RNA", at positions 524 to 776 of the family's 1533-position model. The record is from RNAcentral.
UACGUAGGGGGCAAGCGUUGUCCGGAUUUAUUGGGCGUAAAGAGCGUGUAGGCGGCCAGGUAGGUCAGCUGUGAAAACUCGAGGCUUAACCUCGAGACGCCGGCUGAAACCCUCUGGCUAGAGUCCGGAAGAGGAGAGCGGAAUUCCUGGUGUAGAGGUGAAAUGCGCAGAUAUCAGGAAGAACACCCGUGGCGAAGGCGGCUCUCUGGGACGGUACUGACGCUGAGACGCGAAAGCGUGGGGAGCGAACAGG